AUGGCCUCCAACCAGAACCAAGCGAGCUACGCGGCCGGCGAGACAAAGGCCCGCACCGAGGAGAAGACCGGGCAGAUGGUGGGCACCACCAAGGACAAGGCGGGGCAGGCCACGGAGACCACGAAGCAGAAGGCCGGCGAGGCCAAGGACAAGACGGCCCAGACGGCGCAGGCCGCCAAGGACCGCGCCGCCGAGAGCAAGGACCAGACCGGCAGCUACCUCGGCGAGAAGACGGAGGCGGCCAAGCAGAAGGCGUCGGAGACGGCGCAGUACGCGCAGGAGAGGUCCUCCGACGCCGCACAGUACACCGAGGAGUCCGCCGUCGCCGGCAAGGACAAGACUGGCAACGUGCUCCAGCAGGCCGGCGAGACGGUGGCGAACGCCGUGGCGAACACGCUAGGCAUGGGAUCACCACUGGCGCCACAAAGGACAGCACCACCGAGAAGAUCACCAGGGAUCACUAGACGCAUGCAUACGUCCAAUCUUUGCUGA
This 492-nucleotide ribosomal RNA is filed under the name Triticum aestivum (bread wheat). RNAcentral describes it as "partial small subunit ribosomal RNA". The record is from RNAcentral. Lineage: Eukaryota; Viridiplantae; Streptophyta; Magnoliopsida; Poales; Poaceae.